Molecule: long non-coding RNA, 1173 nt
Filed under: Chinchilla lanigera (long-tailed chinchilla)
Lineage: Eukaryota; Metazoa; Chordata; Mammalia; Rodentia; Chinchillidae
Description: lncRNA (ENSCLAG00000022546.1)
Source: RNAcentral
GUUCUUGUUGACUCCAACACAUGCAAACUGUGCUGCAGGUAGACAUACUGGGACUGCUGCUCUUAGUAGCAGUAGCUGUCAUGUUCCUCACUGUCCCCCAAACAAGGAGACUCCUCCUCGCAAAGCUGGUAACAGAUCUCACGGACACAACCAAUACAAAAACGUUCUGAUGAUCACAAAUUUUUCAGCAAAAUUUCAAAUGUCUGUUUCACUUACAUUCUACUUUUGAACUUUUUAUAGUUUCUCUUUCAAAAAGUCAUAGCCUUAAAAUCCUCAUGUAUAAACUCUAAACUUUUCCUAGGAACACUGCUCCUGGUACACAUUGCAUUGCAGAGGAAGGGGAUAGCGAAGGAAGCAGAAAAUGCUACACCACAAACAAAACCUACGUCAUUACUGGCUUCAUUCCAUAAUAUUACAGAUGCUAAGCUAGAAUUUAAUACACAGUCGGAGAGGGACGGGGCCUCAAGGAAGUCAGUGGGAAAGGAAGACAUCAGGAUUGCGGCUGGAGGUGCAUGUGAGGAAGGCCGGGGCUCAGGAUGAAGAUGCGGUGGCCAGGCCUACGUGCCUCCCUGAGGAAAUCAUGCUGUGAUUAGCACCACCUGGUCAGGAAGUCCAGUAGGCAUCAGCUGCCCAGGUGGGUGACCAGGGCAUCUGACUCCAUCCCUUCCCAAAAUGCCUUUGUUCUUUCCAUGUACGCUUGCUAUGUGAACCACUCCCCUACCGGAUCAAUAUUAGCUAAGCGACUGUACUCGUAACCCUAGAGGUUGAUGGUAGUUUGACCCAUACUGUAACUUUGCUGUAUAAAUUAGCCCUGAAAAGGUACCUGGCCACCCCACUCAGCACCCCUCCUAGAAAGCCAGGAGCUAUUCUUCUGUCCUUAUUUCCACUAAAACUCUCCUAACUUCUUCCUUCGGUUCAUUACGUCAUUCCCUGGUGUUAUGGGACCACCAACUCAGCACAUUUGAUGUCUAGCAGAUCAGGAGUUAUAUUUCCCCUAUGUCAGUAACUUUUCUUAUUCUGCAUCUACCAUUCUUUCAAAAUGGUUCCAUUACUAUCAUCUAUGUGCCACUCCAGAAUUAGCUAAUUCAAUUCAGUGAAGAGAGAACGGUGGGCUCUGGCUGCAUCCUAAGUAUACCAACAUGUUUAUGUACACAUUUGCACAUCCUGACAUUU